This 406-nucleotide ribosomal RNA is filed under the name uncultured bacterium. Its description in RNAcentral is "partial 16S ribosomal RNA". It matches the Rfam family "Bacterial small subunit ribosomal RNA", at positions 28 to 526 of the family's 1533-position model. The record is from RNAcentral.
GAUGAACGCUAGCUACAGGCUUAACACAUGCAAGUCGAGGUACCGGCGCACGGGUGAGUAACACGUAUCCAACCUGCCCUUUACUCGGGGAUAGCCUUUCGAAAGAAAGAUUAAUACCCGAUAUAAAGGAUGGGGAUGCGUUCCAUUAGGUUGUUGGUGAGGUAACGGCCCACCAAGCCUUCGAUGGAUAGGGGUUCGGAGAGGAAGGUCACCUGCAUUGGAACUGAGACACGGACCAAACGCGUACGGGAGGCAGCAGGGAGGAAUAUUGGUCAAUGGGUGCUAGCCUGAACCAGCCAAGUAGAGUGAAGGAUGAAGGCUUAUGGGUCGUAAAUUUCUUUUAUAUAAGAAUAUGUAUUAUAUGAAUAAGGAUCGGCUAACUCCGUGCCAGCAGCCGCGGUAAUAC